This 394-nucleotide ribosomal RNA is filed under the name Phyllocaulis soleiformis. Its description in RNAcentral is "partial 16S ribosomal RNA". It matches the Rfam family "Archaeal large subunit ribosomal RNA", at positions 2005 to 2668 of the family's 2987-position model. The record is from RNAcentral. Lineage: Eukaryota; Metazoa; Mollusca; Gastropoda; Systellommatophora; Veronicellidae.
CGGCCGCAGUACCCUGACUGUGCAAAGGUAGCAUAAUAAAUUGAUUUUUAAUUGGAGUCUAGAAUGAAUGAAAAAACGGAAAUUAACUGUCUUACAAUAAAAGUUUUUAAAUUACUUAAAAGGUGAAAAUACCUUUAGAAAGAAAAAAGACGAGAAGACCCUAAGAAUUUUAAGAAAUAGAUUAAGUCUAAAUCUAAACCUUUUUACUGGGGCGGUAAAGGAUUAAAAAUAAUAAACAUCCUAAAUUUUUUUAUCAAAUUUUAUUUAACUUAAAUAAAUUACCUUAGGGAUAACAGCAUAAUUUAUUAUUAAGUUUGUGACCUCGAUGUUGGACUAGGAAAUUUUAAGACUAGCUGUCAUAAAAAAUGGUUCUGUUCGAACUUUUUUCUCCUAC